This 460-nucleotide ribosomal RNA is filed under the name uncultured bacterium. RNAcentral's name for it is "partial 16S ribosomal RNA". It matches the Rfam family "Bacterial small subunit ribosomal RNA", at positions 338 to 795 of the family's 1533-position model. The record is from RNAcentral.
CCUACGGGGGGCAGCAGUGAGGAAUAUUGGUCAAUGGGCGGACGCCUGAACCAGCCAAGUCGCGUGAGGGAAGACUGCCCUAUGGGUUGUAAACCUCUUUUGUCAGGGAGCAAUUGGCGCUACGUGUAGAGUUAUCGAGAGUACCUGAAGAAAAAGCAUCGGCUAACUCCGUGCCAGCAGCCGCGGUAAUACGGAGGAUGCGAGCGUAAUCCGGAUUUAUUGGGUUAAAAGGGGGGGUAGGCGGACUGCCAAGUCAGCGGUAAAAUGGCGGGGCUCAACCGCGCUCCGCCGUUGAAACUGGCGUCCUUGAGUGGGCGAGAGGUAUGCGGAAUGCGUGGUGUAGCGGUGAAAUGCAUAGAUAUCACGCAGAACUCCGAUUGCGAAGGCAGCAUACCGGCGCCCAACUGACGCUGAGGCACGAAAGCGUGGGUAUCGAACAGGAUUAGAUACCCUGGUAGUC